AACAUGCAAGGAACUAUCAAUUCCAUGAACUUUCGUUUAAAGGAAAUGUCAUGUGAAUUCUGAACUAAUAGCAAUCUAUCGACUACUAUGAUGUUGAUAAUAAUGAACUUUUUGAGUAACUUCUAUAUGGAAUUGAUAAGAAUGGAUCUUGGGCCUAACUCAACCCAAAAGUUAGCUUAUGAGGUGAGGAUUGCCCAAGCCAUAUAAGGAGACCAAGGAACUCAAAUCCCUCCGAUGUGGGACAACUCAAAGCUAGCUUAUGAGGUGAGGAUUGCCCAAGCCAUAUAAGGAGACCAAGGACCUCAAAUCCCUCCGAUGUGGGACAGCUCAACACCCCCUCACGCCCAGAUCUCUGGAGCGUGGACAACAUAAAUGGGGGCCCAACAUCGGUAACAAUAAUUGGGAUGGGCUUGGCUUUGAUACCAUGAUAAGAAUGGAUCUUGGGCCUAACUCAACCCCAAAAGCUAUCUUACGAGGUGAGGAUUGCCCAAGCCAUAUAAGGAGACCAAGGAC
Molecule: long non-coding RNA, 513 nt
Filed under: Nicotiana benthamiana
Lineage: Eukaryota; Viridiplantae; Streptophyta; Magnoliopsida; Solanales; Solanaceae
Description: long non-coding RNA (NBEN_LNC018289)
Source: RNAcentral